RNAcentral lists this ribosomal RNA (309 nucleotides) under uncultured bacterium. RNAcentral's name for it is "partial 16S ribosomal RNA". It matches the Rfam family "Bacterial small subunit ribosomal RNA", at positions 504 to 809 of the family's 1533-position model. The record is from RNAcentral.
AGAGACAGCAGUCGCCACGGUAAUACGUAGGUGGCAAGCGUUGUCCGGAAUUAUUGGGCGUAAAGGGCUCGCAGGCGGUUUCUUAAGUCUGAUGUGAAAGCCCCCGGCUCAACCGGGGAGGGUCAUUGGAAACUGGGAAACUUGAGUGCAGAAGAGGAGAGUGGAAUUCCACGUGUAGCGGUGAAAUGCGUAGAGAUGUGGAGGAACACCAGUGGCGAAGGCGACUCUCUGGUCUGUAACUGACGCUGAGGAGCGAAAGCGUGGGGAGCGAACAGGAUUAGAUACCCCUGUAGUCCCUGUCUCUUAUAA